UAAAUUUUAGUUUAAUUUAAAAAUUUUUUUUUUACAAAAAAAAGAUAUUAUUUAUUAAUAAAUUUAA
RNAcentral lists this transfer RNA (67 nucleotides) under Diaphorencyrtus aligarhensis. RNAcentral describes it as "tRNA-Val". The record is from RNAcentral. Lineage: Eukaryota; Metazoa; Arthropoda; Insecta; Hymenoptera; Encyrtidae.